This 78-nucleotide transfer RNA is filed under the name Deltaproteobacteria bacterium. Its description in RNAcentral is "tRNA-Ile". It matches the Rfam family "tRNA". From Rfam's summary of the family: Transfer RNA (tRNA) molecules are approximately 80 nucleotides in length. Their secondary structure includes four short double-helical elements and three loops (D, anti-codon, and T loops). Lineage: Bacteria; Pseudomonadati; Myxococcota; Myxococcia. The record is from RNAcentral.
GGACUCAUAGCUCAGCCCGGUUAGAGCGUUCGCCUGAUAAGCGAGAGGUCACUGGUUCAAAUCCAGUUGGGUCCACCA